UAUAUCUAAUAGAGCAGACACAAGGAAUAGAUCAAAGUACCCAUUCACCGGAAAAUGUUCUGUGCCCUCCGCCCGUGAGGUACAUUCCCUGAUAUUGGGCUCCUCAAUUUCAGACAGUGCCUAACCAGCACUAUUUAUAGUUUCAUUUAGUUCGGUUUCAGAAAAAAAAAAAAAAAAAAAAGAAAGAAAGAAAAAGAAAAAAAAAAAAUCUCCUUUUCCCCCCUCAGAAAGGAGUGUGGUGGAGUAUCUUAAUGCACAAAGGUGUCCCCUGGCGUCUCCAGUUAUCCCUAUCAGCACAGACCCCCCUCGUCUUUCACCACCAUGCCUGCACUGUUCCCUGUUGCCGUGGCAACCCUACGGCCAGGCCUCUCUCUCUGGAUACACAGGGACUCCUGUUCUUGCCCCCGAGCAGCUGAAGAAGGACUCGCUAAGGUUGCAGAGAAAAAGGUACAUGCUUGUCCUUGUCAUCGCUUCCCCGGUGAGACGCUGGCAUAUCAGCGAGCCGAAUAAAGCCUUUACAAAUAUAGAUUCGGCCGUAUAGCGCGCCGCAUAUACUGCAUGAAAACCAGUAAAGGUCAGAUGCUGCCGAGGAGCAACACCUCUGGGUUUUAGAUCAGCUGUACCACUCUUCUCAGAGUAGGAAAAGAAGCAGAAGAAGAAGAAGAAGAAGAAGAAAAAGAAGGAAAAAGAAAUGGGAGAGGUAUAGGAGAAGGGAAAUGAGAGGAAAAAACGAGAUGGGGAAGGAAAAGGACAGGGAAAAGGAGGAGGAAAGGCGGGGUAAGGAAAAGGAGAUGGGGAAGGAAAUGGAGAAGUAAAAGGGGACGAAAAUUGAGAUGGGCAAGGAAAAGGAGAAGGAAAAUGAGGAGAAAGGGGGGUAGGGAAAAUGAAAUGGGGAAGGAAAAGGGGAAGGAAAAUGAAGAUAAAAAGUGGGGGAAGGAAAAGGAGAUGGGGAUGGAAAUGGAGAAGGAAAAGGUAAAGGAAAACGAGGAGAAAAGGCGGGGUAAGGAAAAUGCGAUGGGAAAAGACAUGGAGAGGGAAAAAGGGAAGGAAAAAGAGAUGGGAAAGGAAAAGGAGAAGGAAAAUGACGAGAAAAGGCGGGGUAAGGAAAAUUAGAUGGGGAAGGAGAUGGAGAAGGAAAAGGAAAAGGAAAAUAAGGAGAAAAGGGGGGUAAGGAAAAGGAGAAUAUGAAGAAGCAAAAAGAGAUGGAAAAGGAAAAGGAGAAUAAUUACAGCUUGCACAAUUAAAUAAAAAAUCCUGAAGACCUCUCCCAGUUUCCUCUCAUGUGGCCAUGGCUUCUGCUUUUGCGGUUGCAGAACAACUAGUUUUGUUUCCACUUUGUUUAUUAAAGCCACGUUCAACACUCUGUAGCUUUUACUGUCAACUUCUGACCAACCAACACUUUUCUGUCACUCCGAACCAGUUGAUGGAAAUUCAACUAAAUCACAUUUUUCCUUUCAUCAAAGGUCCACUUUGCUUUACAGUUGGAUGAAAAUGGUUACUGAUGCGCCGUGUCAUUUUAGGAACAGAUUAGUGUCCAUGAUAAUAAAGUGUGACGGAGA
Molecule: long non-coding RNA, 1559 nt
Organism: Acanthopagrus latus (yellowfin seabream)
Lineage: Eukaryota; Metazoa; Chordata; Actinopteri; Spariformes; Sparidae
Exons: 2
Source: RefSeq, a predicted model, not a curated record